AGAAUAGUGUGAGUUGAAUCCUAAUUCAGAAUUUCAGUUUGGGUAUGAUGAUUGUUUAUUAUUUAGAGGAAGAAUUGUGUACCGAAGAAUUCAGAACAUGGGCUCGUGUCUUGGCCGUGUGAAACCUGCACCUAAUUUGUGAAAAUUAAAUUGACCACACGGCCUAGCACACGGGCAUGUGGCAGGCCGUGUGGCGCAAGUUAGAAAGUUACACGGGUAAGGACAUGGGCUGGAACACGGCCGUGUACCUCACAUCGAAAGCCCA
Molecule: long non-coding RNA, 265 nt
Filed under: Gossypium barbadense (sea-island cotton)
Lineage: Eukaryota; Viridiplantae; Streptophyta; Magnoliopsida; Malvales; Malvaceae
Description: long non-coding RNA (GBAR_LNC010443)
Source: RNAcentral